Molecule: long non-coding RNA, 6783 nt
Organism: Papaver somniferum (opium poppy)
Lineage: Eukaryota; Viridiplantae; Streptophyta; Magnoliopsida; Ranunculales; Papaveraceae
Exons: 4
Source: RefSeq, a predicted model, not a curated record
UAUAUACAUGGCAGAGUAGCUAUUAAGCACGCAACAUGAUACUCUAAUGCAAUCAUAGAAACUUUGGGAAGCUCCGUGAAUCGGGCGACCAUCUGAGUCAAUUCAACCUCAACCGAUUCUCAACAAAAUUCUGCUUCUCAGAUCCUUGCAUGUCCAUGAUUUGCUAAGUUUUUCCCAUCUUUCAUCUCUUUUUAAGUUUCCAUCUGUUUCUUCUUACCUUAUCUUUGUUUUUGUAGAAUUUGAUUGAAUAAUUUUGAGUCAAAGCCUCCUUUCCUAUGAGCAGCUAACCUCAAAAGCGUACCGGACCUGCACAGGGCUUAGGACUGCCAAAUCAUGGUGAUUAUCGGGUGUUUCUAUUGUCUUUGCUAAAUAUGGGUAUGUUGAUUCUUCUAUGGCUGCCAUUAAUGAUAUAUUUUUCUUUGCUUGAUUCAGAUUCUCUUUUAUCUGAUUAGUCUAUCAAUCUUCAUCUUGUUAGCGAAGUUUUCUAAUUUUCUUGUGGUCUUUUUAUCCUCUGUAAUGUUCUCAUUUGUCUUCCACUAAACUUUCAUUAUCCCGCCCCUUUUUCCUUUAGGUGUUUUGAAUCAAUCGACAGUUUGUCAUCUUGUAUCACUUUGUCUUCUAUUUGACUUAGUGACGAGUCUGUGGUAACCCGUAAUUAAAUCAAGAAUCCCAUUCCAAUUUUCAAUCUAUCCCAGUCAGAAAUUUACUUCCUCUUGUUGCUAUGUGUAGACAAGCUGUUUGUUAGUUUUGCUCUUUGAAGGGGUUUACUUAUUUUCCUUGGCGUUAAGUGUAGUUUCUCUUACUACCGGUUGGCAAGCUGUUUGUUAAUUUAACUCCCUGAAGGGGUUGGUAUUAUCCUUGUUUUUGAGUGUAGUUUGUCUGGCAACAUACUUACAAGAGAUUAUUAUUUUUCUAGGGUUGGUUUUUGCUAAUGAUAUUUGUCGAUUCGAUUUUGUUCGUUUUCUUAUCGUUAUAUCGUGUUUUCUAAUUUUAGUCGAAUUGACUCUGGGAACUAAUAUUUUUUCGCCUCCGCAAAACUGGUGAUUAGUCAUUUCUUUUUUGUGUUUUUCUUCGCACCUCUGUUAAGUACAUCUGAUCAAUUUUUCUAUCUGAACCAAGCAAUAAAGUUUGUCUUUCUUCCUUUUGUUCAAAAUGGCAGCCAUCUCUUAUGCCCAUAUGAUUUAUUUCUUUAUCGUACCCGGUUAACUCCUUGGUUUUAGUAGCUCCUAUUGUCCAGUUGUGCAGGUCUGGUUAGUCUAUCAUCUUAUCCCUCUUUACAGUUGUGCAUCUUGAAUCGUUUGUUACUUGUGUAAUAAUUCCUGUUCUUUUAAUUCUUCUUGAGCUGCGCUUUAGUAAUAGUAAUUUUAUUUUAUCUAGUUCUGCUAGUUGUGCUUUCUGCUAGCUUAACUCAAUCCUAUCUCCUUUCAGUUUUUUUAUUCCAGUCUUUUACAUACAGUAGCCCCGCCUAAGGCGUUGAAUUGUAGUUUUUGUUUUGCUUUCAUCUUAUCAUUGUCUCGCUCAAUUUAAUCGGUUGAGGUUGAGGUCGAACUGCUUUCUCAUCUGGAUUGUUUCUUUCUGUCUAGGUGGUCUCUGAGCUGUUUUUUUUCUUCUGGUACUAGGCUUGUGCUAAUUUCUUUUUUCCCUCCCCUCUGUGUCUAGUUUGUGUCUCUCUCCCUGUUUUUUUGAGUCCUAUGGUGUUGUACACUUUUAAUUUUUCUCCUUUUUGGUAAUCUCUUCUGCUAAACAUUUUUCUGGGUCCCUUCUUUUCCUUUAGUUAUCUCUCCUUUUUCCCUCUUAAAUUUUUGUGUCUUCACUACUGGUAGUUUUUUUCGCUUCUCCAAUGAAACUUCUUUCUUGGAACGUCCAAGGAAUAGCGACUCCUAUAGUAGGGACCAUCUUAAUCACCUAUACCAUUUGUUCAAACCAGAUAUUAUUUUUUUAUUCUGAGAUAAAGGCCCCAUUCGAUAGAAUGAACCUUUUGUUGAAAAAAAUCUGAUUUUCAUGAUUGGUUCAUAGUCCCGUCGGCGGGGAUAGCUAAGGGGUCGGCGAUAGCUUGGCAUAAUAAUGUAGAGCUAAACCUAAUCGGCUCAUUUAAAUGUUUGUCAUUUUGAAUCAACAAUUGGAGACAAAGAAAUAGAAAUUACAUGUGUCUAUGGCGAAAUAGAAAUUACAUGUGUCUAUGGCACCGUGGAAGCAGAUGAUAAAGUAGCCCAAUGGUCUCAUAUUCAGGAUUUAACGGGACAAGUUCAAAAACCUUGUGUCCUAAUUGGAGAUUUGAAUAUAAUUUUGGACCCGGGUGAAAAGCAGGGUGGAAAUAAUACGAGUUCAAGCAGUAAAUCUUUCGUUAGGCAGAUUAUAGACGCUUUGGGGCUGCAAGAUGCGGGUUGCGAAGGCGCUCAUUUCACUUGGUCAAAUAACCAAAGUGGAGAUGUUAAUAUAUGCGAAGGAUCGAUAGAGCUUUAAUAUCUUAUCAUUGGAUUUAGUUAUUCUCGGACACAAAGGUAACUCACCUAACCAGGAUUGGCUCUGACCACACCCCUAUCCUUUUCGAUUCCAAUCCGGAAACAAAAAGCCUUCUUGAACUGUUUAGAUGCAUUAGGUCUUGGCUCUCCCAUCCCUCUUUAUCUACUGUGGUAGAAGUAUCUUGGAAUCUUCACUCAUCCAAUUCUUCAACCAAAAAUUUCAUUUCAAGUCUAAAAGCUCUUUCGUUGGAUUUAGCCCAGUGGAACUCAGAUAUUUUCGGUAAUAUCCAUAAAAAUAUAAAAAACCUCAAUAUAAAAAUAGAUAACAUUCAUAGAUCUGGAAACAUCUCCUCCGAGAUAGAUAUUCUCAAAAAUCUCCAAGUUGAUCUAGGAAAAUGGUACGAAAUUAAAAUACGGUCAAAAUAUGGAAUAUUUUCAUACCUCGGCUUCAAACAGGAAGAAAAUCAAUGCAAUUCAUUCGCUCGAGAACCAUCAGGGCUCUGGAUUUCUGAUCGAGACCAAAUCAAUUCUCUCUUAAUCAAUCACUUCUCCCAAAUCGGAACUUCCCAAAUGAAGAACUACAAUAUGGACCUAGCUGACAUUAUACAUCCUUGUGUUACCGACUCGAAAGACAUAGAUUUAACCCGAAUUCCUUCUAAAGAGGUGAUCUGGUUAAUUCUCUCCAACAUGAAUCCUUGGGGUGCUCUAGGCCCAGACGGUUUCCAACUGGGUUUCUUCAAAGCUAAUUGGAACAUCUUGGGUCCAGAUAUAAUAAGUUCUACGCAAGAUUUCUUUAGGUUUGGGAUUAUAGAAAAGGACUUUAACCACUCCUAUAUUACUCUUAUACCAAAAAUCACAACUCCUCAAACCCCAGCGAAUUCCUAUUAGCCUCAGCAAUACCAUCUAUAAACUCAUUUCGAAAAUCUUGGCGAAUCGUCUAAAACCCAUCUUAAAUAGGUUAAUUUCCCUAAAUCAAUCAGCAUUUCUUCCAGGAAGACGAAUUACAGACAAUAUUAUCAUAGCCCAUGAAUUGAUCCAUUCAAUGAAAACUUCCAAAAAAAAAAGGGGGUUUCUAGCUCUCAAAAUUGAUCUUUCCAAAGCCUUUGAUAGAGUUGAGUGGCCUUUUAUUGCAAAAGCCUUAUCUUCUUUUGGUUUUAGCGAUUGCUGCGUCAACCUCAUUUCUCAAUGCAUUUCCCUGACCUCUUAUUCUAUUCUUCUAAAAUGGAUCCCCAGGUCCAACUUUCUCCACCUGUAGGGGUUUAAGGCAAGGAGACCCUCUAUCACCAUAUUUAUUUCUAAUUUGCAUGGAGAUUCUCUCAAGAUUCCUCGAAAAAGCCACCGAAGAAAAUAAGAUUUCGGGCAUUAAAAUAAACAAACAUGCCCCUAUUAUAUCCCACCUAUUCUUUGCUGAUGAUUGCUUUCAUUUCACCAAAGCGGACUUAGGGGAAGCAAAAAAUUUACUGGACAUAUUAUUUAAUUUUGGGGAAAUCACGGGGCAAAUGAUUAAUUUACAAAAAUCUGGCAUUUACUUCAGCCCUAAAAUACACCCAAAACAUGCAAGAUAAUUGCGAAAAUCCUAAAAGUAACCUUGUUGACAAAAAAAGGACAGGUAUCUUGGUAUUCCUCUUUUUUUCGAUAAAAACAGAAAAGAAAAUUUCGAACCGCUCCUUCAAAGGUAUUACAACAAUCUAUAAGGUUGGAAAUCAAAGUUAUUAUUGCAAGCGGGCAUGACAGUUCUAAUUAAUCUAUUCUCCAAGCUUACCCAACUUACCAGAUGCAGAUGCUAGCACUUCCAAAAGAAACUCUAGAUAAGCUUGACAAAAUCCAAAGAGACUUUUGGUGGAAUAAAGACAAGCCAAACGGAAAAGGUAGUUAUAUAAAAGCGUGGAAAGGCAUGUCUAAACCAAAAUAUCAAGGGGGUUGGGAAUUAAGAAUCCUCACAAUUUCAAUAUACCCCUCCUGACGAAGCUAGCGAGCAGAGUAAUGACAUAAAAAGAUCAAUUAUGGGUAAAACUUCUAGAGACGAAGUACUACCAUGAUUCAAACCCAUUUGAAUUGACCAGAAAUUACAAACUUUCUUGGAUCUAGACAAGCAUUCAAAAGGGGCUCAAUAUUAUAAAAGGAAACUUUAUUUGGUAAGUGAAAGAUGGAGCUAAUACGAAAAUAUGGGAAGACAGUUGGAUCCCUAAUACGGAUAUAGUGAAUAAACCAAGUGAUAGAGCUGAUCUCUUCCCCAAAAGGUCCAAGAGCUGUUAAAAAUAGACAGUUCCUGGGACAUUGAAAAAAUUGACGAUUACUUUCAGCCAGAUAUUAAGGAAUUUUUCUUAGCAUUACCCCGAACAAAGAUAAGAGGGAUCGGAUUAGAUGGAAACAUCAUAUUUCUGGGGCUUUAUCGGCAAAAAAUAUUUACAACUAUCUCAUCAAGCAACAUAAUAAUAAUGACGAGGAUAUAAUUUUUCCGUGGAACUACCUUUGGAAAUUGUAGAUAAUCCCUCGGAUAAGACUAUUUAUGUGGAAACUGGUUCAAAAAACGCUUCCGACCAAUUGCAGACUAGCCGCUCAAACACAGAAAUGUCCCCUGAGUGUCCUUUAUGUGAUACUCAAGCGUCGGAAACAGAAGACCACCUUUUUAGAAAAUGCCAUUUCGCUAGAUCGAUCUGGUUUGGCUGCGCCUCGAUUACAGUUAGUUCGCAAAUUAACACGGACUCAAUUGUUAAGUUGGUGGAAACUUGGAUAUCUGAUCCUAACUUCUCAAAUUUUUGUGAACAAAUCGCAACAAUCAUCUGGUUCCUAUGGAAGUAUAGAUGUGAAGUGGUUUUUAGGAAAACCUACCCAGACUCAUACUCUUUGAUUCAACAGAUUAAGAACUUCUUACAGACGCAGCCGUUCAAAAAGGAUAAAAUUAAAAAAGAUAUUCAGAAAAAGAAAACAAUUAAAUCUGCUUGGAAUAAUUUCAAAGUGGAUUGGAUAAUUUUUACAGAUGCGUCGUUUAACAAGGAGAACUUGUCCAUGGGUUACGCCUUCAUUCUUUAUUUAGUAGAACAAGAAACUUUUAUGCAUCUUUCUGCAGGUUCAGAUUGGGCGUCCUCGGCUUUACAUGCAGAAGCAAAAUCUCUCUUAAAUGCCUUAAAAUGGCUAGAAGGCAAUAUUCUUUCUAGCGUGUUUAUUGCUACAUAUUGUAAAGUUCUGGUAGAUAUCAUUAAUACAAAAGGAACAAACGUUUCUUAGACAACAUAGAAUACCAUAGAAGAAACUACUGCUAUUUUGGGCAGAUUACCACAAGCAAAGGUAAAAUUUAUUAACAGAGAUCACAACGCAGCAGCAGACACAGUGGAAAAAGAAGCAAGAAUCAGAAGACUACAACACAUGACGAAACAUUUGCAACAUCAAUUGCAAAAAGAAAGUAUCAUUUUUAACAUUUUCGGACAAAAUGAAAUUGUAGACCUUCUGUAUUAUAUCACUUAGUGGGAAUUGAAUAAAUAGCCCUACUUUUGAUGGCCUUCAUAAAUACCCUUUUCCACAAUAAUUAUACCCCUCUCCCUGUGAAAAGAUAUCCUAAAUAACUGAUGAUUCCAAAUAUACCCUCCUUAUACAAUCGAUUUAGAUCUGGUCUUUUCCAUUGAAACUGUCAAUCGAAUACAGAACAGGGAGAAACCAAAUUUUUUAAGAGAAAUUUAUGGGUUCUGUUCGAAAUCAUAAAGAGAAUCAUAUUUUGUAGCAUCAGAAAUCAAGAUAUCUUCUUCUUCCUCUUGUUUUUCAUUUAAAUUUGAUGAUUCAUUCUCCAAAUCAGAUUCAGAGAGUUCUAGAUUCGGGAUCUCAUUUGUUUUCGAACUGGUAAUUCCAAAUUGAAGAUUCAAAAAGAUAUACAGAGAUCUGAAUUUGUGUUGAUUCUACUGGAUUUCGGGAUCUAUCGCCUGAAUUUUUGAUAUAAUUGUCCAUCUCUUAACCAGAUGAUAAACAUCAAGUGCCCUUUGCAUACUUAGCAAUCUUUUUAUUACUCGACAAGUUUAUUAAAGGAACACAGAUAUAUCUAGUUGCAUUUGGAGGUGCGAGUUGGUGCCGGUCCUUAACCAAUUUGAAGUUAACUGUUAGCGAUGAUCAUGCAUUGACCAUCAUACCAAAGAACUUGAUUGGCUCCUCGUGCACCAAUAUCUAGAAGGCGGUUGUAGAUGUUAAACUUCUUGUUUAGAAUGUUAUUUUGAAAUUUCAUAUGCUUAUGAAUUUGUGAUGUUUCUUUAAAAUUACUUUUUGCAUCUUUUUUAGGUUAAGUUUUUUUGAUGUUUACAUUCUUUAUCAUCUAAAAGUAUAGGCUCCAAAGUUU